AAAGAAUUAGUUAAUUUAUAACAUUAGUUUGUCAAACUAAAAUUAUUAUUCCUAAUAUUUUUUU
Molecule: transfer RNA, 64 nt
Filed under: Ochthebius colveranus
Lineage: Eukaryota; Metazoa; Arthropoda; Insecta; Coleoptera; Hydraenidae
Description: tRNA-Asp
Source: RNAcentral